Molecule: long non-coding RNA, 541 nt
Filed under: Chrysolophus pictus (golden pheasant)
Lineage: Eukaryota; Metazoa; Chordata; Aves; Galliformes; Phasianidae
Description: lncRNA (ENSCPIG00010009190.1)
Source: RNAcentral
GCCGACCGUUACUCCGCUGAGGUAAUAAAAGAGGCCGCCCUAAUUGCAGUCAGCUGAGCCGGGCGAGCUGCGGCUUCGCUCCUGUCCACGCCUCCUUCCCUCGGGCACCUCGGUGGCUCUGCUGAAGGCGGGAGGGAUGGAGGUAACGCUUCACUGCUGGAAGAGGCCGGGCGGGUCUCUGAGGGCCGCCCCUCAGGGCCUGUGUGAUGUGUGAGAGAGAGAUGCGACGAGAAAUGGAUUUUGCUGGUGGAAUUGGCAGCUCGGGGCAGGUAGUAAACCGGUGCUGGAGUGCUCUGGUAAAGGAGAUGUCUGUCCGGUCCAGGACCUGCAGUCCCAUUUAAGCUGUGCUGCUGCGGUGGCUCUGUUGGUGAGGGUUCUCUACUCUACCCAAGCAGCGAUAGCUCUCUGCUUCACCUGGACUCGUGCUAUGGAUUCAGGAUCCUCUCAAGCAAUGGGAAAGGAAGCAAAAGGGAAACAAAGGACUUUUCCUGCCAGCUCUUGUCACAGGAAGACCUAUGCUCGAAGGGAACCACCCCCUUGA